AUUGAACGCUGGCGGCAUGCCUUACACAUGCAAGUCGAACGGCAGCACGGGUGCUUGCACCUGGUGGCGAGUAGCGAACGGGUGAGUAAUACAUCGGAACAUGUCCUGUAGUGGGGGAUAGCCCGGCGAAAGCCGGAUUAAUACCGCAUACGAUCUACGGAUGAAAGCGGGGGACCUUCGGGCCUCGCGCUAUAGGGUUGGCCGAUAGCUGAUUAGCUAGUUGGUGGGGUAAAGGCCUACCAAGGCGACGAUCAGUAGCUGGUCUGAGAGGACGACCAGCCACACUGGGACUGAGACACGGCCCAGACUCCUACGGGAGGCAGCAGUGGGGAAUUUUGGACAAUGGGCGAAAGCCUGAUCCAGCAAUGCCGCGUGUGUGAAGAAGGCCUUCGGGUUGUAAAGCACUUUUGUCCGGAAAGAAAUCCUUGGCUCUAAUACAGUCGGGGGAUGACGGUACCGGAAGAAUAAGCACCGGCUAACUACGUG
This 486-nucleotide ribosomal RNA is filed under the name uncultured bacterium. Its description in RNAcentral is "partial 16S ribosomal RNA". It matches the Rfam family "Bacterial small subunit ribosomal RNA", at positions 30 to 507 of the family's 1533-position model. The record is from RNAcentral.